Molecule: ribosomal RNA, 280 nt
Filed under: uncultured bacterium
Lineage: Bacteria
Description: partial 16S ribosomal RNA
Rfam family: Bacterial small subunit ribosomal RNA
Source: RNAcentral
UACAGAGGUCUCAACCGUUGUUCGGAUUCAUUGGGCGUAAAGGGCGCGUAGGCGGCCUGCUAAGUCGGAUGUGAAAUCCCUCGGCUCAACCGAGGAACUGCAUCCGAUACUGGCGGGCUUGAAUCCGGGAGAGGGAUGUGGAAUUCCAGGUGUAGCGGUGAAAUGCGUAGAUAUCUGGAAGGAACACCAGUGGCGAAGGCGACUUCCUGGCCUGUUCUUGACGCUGAGGCGCGAAAGCUAGGGGAGCAAACGGGGAUUAAGAAACCCCAAGGUAACGUCC